RNAcentral lists this ribosomal RNA (448 nucleotides) under uncultured bacterium. RNAcentral describes it as "SSU rRNA". It matches the Rfam family "Bacterial small subunit ribosomal RNA", at positions 26 to 518 of the family's 1533-position model. The record is from RNAcentral.
AGAGCGAACGCUGGCGGCAGGCUUAACACAUGCAAGUCGAACGCUCGUAGCAAUACGGGAGUGGCAGACGGGUGAGUAACGCGUGGGAACAUACCCUCCGGUUCGGAAUAGCUCAGGGAAACUUGGAUUAAUACCGGAUACGGCUGAGAGGCGAAAGAUUUAUCGCCGGAGGAUUGGCCCGCGUUCGAUUAGCUUGUUGGUGAGGUAACGGCUCACCAAGGCGAUGAUCGAUAGCUGGUCUGAGAGGAUGAUCAGCCACAUUGGGACUGAGACACGGCCCAAACUCCUACGGGAGGCAGCAGUGGGGAAUAUUGGACAAUGGGCGCAAGCCUGAUCCAGCCAUGCCGCGUGAGUGAUGAAGGCCCUAGGGUUGUAAAGCUCUUUUGUGCGGGAAGAUAAUGACGGUACCGCAAGAAUAAGCCCCGGCUAACUUCGUGCCAGCAGCCGC